This 1673-nucleotide ribosomal RNA is filed under the name Staphylococcus aureus. RNAcentral's name for it is "partial 23S ribosomal RNA". It matches the Rfam family "Bacterial large subunit ribosomal RNA", at positions 513 to 2190 of the family's 2925-position model. Lineage: Bacteria; Bacillati; Bacillota; Bacilli; Caryophanales; Staphylococcaceae. The record is from RNAcentral.
GGUGAAAAGCACCCCGGAAGGGGAGUGAAAUAGAACCUGAAACCGUGUGCUUACAAGUAGUCAGAGCCCGUUAAUGGGUGAUGGCGUGCCUUUUGUAGAAUGAACCGGCGAGUUACGAUUUGAUGCAAGGUUAAGCAGUAAAUGUGGAGCCGUAGCGAAAGCGAGUCUGAAUAGGGCGUUUAGUAUUUGGUCGUAGACCCGAAACCAGGUGAUCUACCCUUGGUCAGGUUGAAGUUCAGGUAACACUGAAUGGAGGACCGAACCGACUUACGUUGAAAAGUGAGCGGAUGAACUGAGGGUAGCGGAGAAAUUCCAAUCGAACCUGGAGAUAGCUGGUUCUCUCCGAAAUAGCUUUAGGGCUAGCCUCAAGUGAUGAUUAUUGGAGGUAGAGCACUGUUUGGACGAGGGGCCCCUCUCGGGUUACCGAAUUCAGACAAACUCCGAAUGCCAAUUAAUUUAACUUGGGAGUCAGAACAUGGGUGAUAAGGUCCGUGUUCGAAAGGGAAACAGCCCAGACCACCAGCUAAGGUCCCAAAAUAUAUGUUAAGUGGAAAAGGAUGUGGCGUUGCCCAGACAACUAGGAUGUUGGCUUAGAAGCAGCCAUCAUUUAAAGAGUGCGUAAUAGCUCACUAGUCGAGUGACACUGCGCCGAAAAUGUACCGGGGCUAAACAUAUUACCGAAGCUGUGGAUUGUCCUUUGGACAAUGGUAGGAGAGCGUUCUAAGGGCGUUGAAGCAUGAUCGUAAGGACAUGUGGAGCGCUUAGAAGUGAGAAUGCCGGUGUGAGUAGCGAAAGACGGGUGAGAAUCCCGUCCACCGAUUGACUAAGGUUUCCAGAGGAAGGCUCGUCCGCUCUGGGUUAGUCGGGUCCUAAGCUGAGGCCGACAGGCGUAGGCGAUGGAUAACAGGUUGAUAUUCCUGUACCACCUAUAAUCGUUUUAAUCGAUGGGGGGACGCAGUAGGAUAGGCGAAGCGUGCGAUUGGAUUGCACGUCUAAGCAGUAAGGCUGAGUAUUAGGCAAAUCCGGUACUCAUUAAGGCUGAGCUGUGAUGGGGAGAAGACAUUGUGUCUUCGAGUCGUUGAUUUCACACUGCCGAGAAAAGCCUCUAGAUAGAAAAUAGGUGCCCGUACCGCAAACCGACACAGGUAGUCAAGAUGAGAAUUCUAAGGUGAGCGAGCGAACUCUCGUUAAGGAACUCGGCAAAAUGACCCCGUAACUUCGGGAGAAGGGGUGCUCUUUAGGGUUAACGCCCAGAAGAGCCGCAGUGAAUAGGCCCAAGCGACUGUUUAUCAAAAACACAGGUCUCUGCUAAACCGUAAGGUGAUGUAUAGGGGCUGACGCCUGCCCGGUGCUGGAAGGUUAAGAGGAGUGGUUAGCUUCUGCGAAGCUACGAAUCGAAGCCCCAGUAAACGGCGGCCGUAACUAUAACGGUCCUAAGGUAGCGAAAUUCCUUGUCGGGUAAGUUCCGACCCGCACGAAAGGCGUAACGAUUUGGGCACUGUCUCAACGAGAGACUCGGUGAAAUCAUAGUACCUGUGAAGAUGCAGGUUACCCGCGACAGGACGGAAAGACCCCGUGGAGCUUUACUGUAGCCUGAUAUUGAAAUUCGGCACAGCUUGUACAGGAUAGGUAGGAGCCUUUGAAACGUGAGCGCUAGCUUACGUGGAGGCGCU